RNAcentral lists this ribosomal RNA (479 nucleotides) under uncultured bacterium. Its description in RNAcentral is "partial 16S ribosomal RNA". It matches the Rfam family "Bacterial small subunit ribosomal RNA", at positions 28 to 507 of the family's 1533-position model. The record is from RNAcentral.
GAUGAACGCUAGCGGGAGGCUUAACACAUGCAAGCCGAGGGGUAUAGUUCUUUCGGGAACUAGAGACCGGCGCACGGGUGCGUAACGCGUAUGCAACUUGCCCUACUGAAAAGGAUAGCCCUUCGAAAGGAGGAUUAAUACUUUAUAACAGAUUUAAUGGCAUCAUUAGAUUUUGAAAGAUUUAUCGCAGUAGGAUAGGCAUGCGUAAGAUUAGUUAGUUGGUGAGGUAACGGCUCACCAAGACGAUGAUCUUUAGGGGGCCUGAGAGGGUGAACCCCCACACUGGUACUGAGACACGGACCAGACUCCUACGGGAGGCAGCAGUGAGGAAUAUUGGACAAUGGGUGGAAGCCUGAUCCAGCCAUCCCGCGUGUAGGAUGACGGCCUUAUGGGUUGUAAACUACUUUUAUCUGGGGAUAAACCUACUUACGGGUAAGUAGCUGAAGGUACCAGAAGAAUAAGCACCGGCUAACUCCGUG